Molecule: transfer RNA, 55 nt
Filed under: Euplatypus parallelus
Lineage: Eukaryota; Metazoa; Arthropoda; Insecta; Coleoptera; Curculionidae
Description: tRNA-Trp
Source: RNAcentral
AAGAAUUUAAGUUAAAUAAACUAUUGACCUUCAAAGUCAAAAUUAUAUACUUUUA